RNAcentral lists this unclassified non-coding RNA (211 nucleotides) under uncultured fungus. RNAcentral describes it as "partial contains 18S rRNA, ITS1 and 5.8S rRNA". The stretch from base 1 to 41 matches the Rfam family "Eukaryotic small subunit ribosomal RNA", at positions 1791 to 1831 of the family's 1831-position model. Lineage: Eukaryota; Fungi. The record is from RNAcentral.
GUAACAAGGUUUCCGUAGGUGAACCUGCGGAAGGAUCAUUACCGAGUGCGGGCCCCUCGGGGCCCAACCUCCCACCCGUGUUGCCCGAACCUAUGUUGCCUCGGCGGGCCCCGCGCCCGCCGACGGCCCCCCUGAACGCUGUCUGAAGUUGCAGUCUGAGACCUAUAACGAAAUUAGUUAAAACUUUCAACAACGGAUCUCUUGGUUCCGG